This is a long non-coding RNA of Bufo bufo (common toad), 286 nucleotides long. RefSeq lists it as uncharacterized. Lineage: Eukaryota; Metazoa; Chordata; Amphibia; Anura; Bufonidae. The transcript has 3 exons. The record is from RefSeq and is a predicted model, not a curated record.
GCACCGGUGGCUGGGGUAACUAGCCACUCCCCCUGGACCAGCCAGUAUAAGAACCAGCUCCACCAAACAGUCCUCCUCUUUCUUUGCUGCUCACAGGAGGAGAUGAGUAUCUGUCUCUAGAGUGUAGUUAUGUUAUAUGGUUAACCAAUUGUUUUUUCCAUAACUAAUAAUUGUUAUUGGUUGGUACUCCUACCGCCGUUUUACUUUACCCUCUGCGCGUCAUUUUGCCAGAUUGGGUCGCUCUGCGCCGUCUCUCCCCGCUUUUGCUCCCUCUGCCUUCUCGCCA